GCUGGGUGUAGUGGCGCACACCUGUAAUCCCAGCUACUUGGGAGGCUGAGGCAGAAGAAUCACUUGAACCUGGGAGGCAGAGGUUGCAGUGAGCCGAGAUGGCACCACUGCACUCCAGCCUGGGUGACAGAGUGAGACCCUGUCUCAA
RNAcentral lists this non-coding RNA (148 nucleotides) under Homo sapiens (human). Lineage: Eukaryota; Metazoa; Chordata; Mammalia; Primates; Hominidae. The record is from Rfam by way of RNAcentral.